AGUGAACGCUGGCGGUAGGCCUAACACAUGCAAGUCGAACGGCAGCACAGAGGAGCUUGCUCCUUGGGUGGCGAGUGGCGGACGGGUGAGGAAUACAUCGGAAUCUACUCUGUCGUGGGGGAUAACGUAGGGAAACUUACGCUAAUACCGCAUACGACCUACGGGUGAAAGCAGGGGACCUUCGGGCCUUGCGCGAUUGAAUGAGCCGAUGUCGGAUUAGCUAGUUGGCGGGGGAAAGGCCCACCAAAGCGACGAUCCGUAGCUGGUCUGAGAGGACGAUCAGCUACACUGGAACUGAGACACGGUCCAGACUCCUACGGGAGGCAGCGGGGAGGAAUAUUGGACAAUGGGCGCAAGCCUGAGCCAGCCAUACCGCGUGGGUGAAGAAGGCCUUCGGGUUGUAAAGCCCUUUUGUUGGGAAAGAAAUCCAGCUGGCUAAUACCCGGUUGAGAUGACGGUACCCAAAGAAUAAGCACCGGCUAACUUCGUGCCAGCCGCCGCCGUAA
Molecule: ribosomal RNA, 506 nt
Filed under: uncultured bacterium
Lineage: Bacteria
Description: partial 16S ribosomal RNA
Rfam family: Bacterial small subunit ribosomal RNA
Source: RNAcentral